This 376-nucleotide ribosomal RNA is filed under the name Anopheles minimus. RNAcentral describes it as "eukaryotic LSU rRNA". It matches the Rfam family "Eukaryotic large subunit ribosomal RNA", at positions 645 to 964 of the family's 3401-position model. Lineage: Eukaryota; Metazoa; Arthropoda; Insecta; Diptera; Culicidae. The record is from RNAcentral.
GGACCCGUCUUGAACACGGACCAAGAAGUCUAUCUUGCGCGCAAGCCAAUGGGUAAAUGGUGCGGUACGCCGCCCAUGACUGGAAACCCACAGGCACAGACAAAUCGAGUGUUGCGGGAUUACGGGUACGGCCGAUGGCGCAAGCCUUCGUCGGACCCCUCCAUCCCAGGGUGUCCCGUUCGGGUGCUUGCACCCAGCGGACAUCCCCGGAGUGCGUAGGAUGUGACCCGAAAGAUGGUGAACUAUGCCUGAUCAGGUUGAAGUCAGGGGAAACCCUGAUGGAGGACCGAAGCAAUUCUGACGUGCAAAUCGAUUGUCAGAGUUGGGCAUAGGGGCGAAAGACCAAUCGAACCAUCUAGUAGCUGGUUCCUUCCGA